Molecule: long non-coding RNA, 376 nt
Filed under: Elaeis guineensis (African oil palm)
Lineage: Eukaryota; Viridiplantae; Streptophyta; Magnoliopsida; Arecales; Arecaceae
Description: long non-coding RNA (EGUI_LNC017686)
Source: RNAcentral
AAGACAGAUUUCUACGUCAACAGAUUGGCGUUAGAGGAAGAGCCAAGCCCAUUUAUGGAAAGGAGCAAAUAUUCAAUGGGAAAAGUUUCAUCACACUGCUUUAAUGCCGGUGAGAUCUAGAUUGUCUACCUCUUAAUCGGCCAGAUGAUCAUAAUCUGGCUAUUUACAAAUCAAUGGAUGUCGAUUGGAUCCUUUUUGAUUCGACCAUCAGACUAGAUCUGAUUAGUUAACAACCCUCCAAGACUGUCUCAAUCGGCUCAAAGCUGGAGGGUUCCGAAUAGGAAAAGAGAUCACAACUAGGGAAAAAAUUAUGAGGAUUUCUUGAUUUUCAAAUCAUCUGCACUCUCUCAUUUUAAAAUUUAAAUUUUGAACUCUU